AAUCUUCCCCAAUGGACGAAAGUCUGACGGAGCAACGCCGCGUGAGUGAAGAAGGUUUUCGGAUCGUAAAGCUCUGUUGUCAGGGAAGAACAAGUACGGAAGUAACUGUCCGUACCUUGACGGUACCUGACCAGAAAGCCACGGCUAACUACGUGCCAGCAGCCGCGGUAAUACGUAGGUGGCAAGCGUUGUCCGGAAUUAUUGGGCGUAAAGCGCGCGCAGGCGGCUUCUUAAGUCUGAUGUGAAAGCCCCCGGCUCAACCGUGGAGGGUCAUUGGAAACUGGGAGGCUUGAGUGCAGAAGAGGAGAGCGGAAUUCCACGUGUAGCGGUGAAAUGCGUAGAGAUGUGGAGGAACACCAGUGGCGAAGGCGGCUCUCUGGUCUGUAACUGACGCUGAGGCGCGAAAGCGUGGGGAGCGAACAGGAUUAGAUACCCUGGUAGUCCACGCCGUAAACGAUGAGUGCUAAGUGUUGGAGGGUUUCCGCCCUUCAGUGCUGCAGCUAACGCAUUAAGCACUCCGCCUGGGGAGUACGGCCGCNAAGGCUGAAACUCAAAGGAAUUGACGGGGGCCCGCACAAGCGGUGGAGCAUGUGGUUUAAUUCGAAGCAACGCGAAGAACCUUACCAGGUCUUGACAUCCCGCUGACCGGUCUGGAGACAGGCCUUUCCCUUCGGGGACAGCGGUGACAGGUGGUGCAUGGUUGUCGUCAGCUCGUGUCGUGAGAUGUUGGGUUAAGUCCCGCAACGAGCGCAACCCUUGAUCUUAGUUGCCAGCAUUCAGUUGGGCACUCUAAGGUGACUGCCGGUGACAAACCGGAAGAAGGUGGGGAUGACGUCAAAUCAUCAUGCCCCUUAUGACCUGGGCUACACACGUGCUACAAUGGAUGGUACAAAGGGCUGCAAGACCGCAAGGUUUAGCCAAUCCCAUAAAACCAUUCUCAGUUCAGAUUGCACGCUGCAACUCGCCUGCGUGAAGCCAGAAUCGCUAGUAAUC
This 993-nucleotide ribosomal RNA is filed under the name uncultured Bacillus sp. RNAcentral's name for it is "bacterial SSU rRNA". It matches the Rfam family "Bacterial small subunit ribosomal RNA", at positions 360 to 1343 of the family's 1533-position model. Lineage: Bacteria; Bacillati; Bacillota; Bacilli; Caryophanales; Bacillaceae. The record is from RNAcentral.